AUUGAACGCUGGCGGCAGGCCUAACACAUGCAAGUCGAACGAGUGGCGGACGGGUGAGUAAUGUCUGGGAAACUGCCUGAUGGAGGGGGAUAACUACUGGAAACGGUAGCUAAUACCGCAUACCAUCAGAUGUGCCCAGAUGGGAUUAGCUUGUUGGUGGGGUAACGGCUCACCAAGGCGACGAUCCCUAGCUGGUCUGAGAGGAUGACCAGCCACACUGUGACUGGGACACGGUCCAGACUCCGACGGCAGGCAGCGUGGGGGAAUGUAGCACAAGGGGCGAAAGCCUGAUGCAGCCAUGCCGGGUGUAUGAAGAAGGCCUGCGGGUUAGAAAGAACUUUCAGCGGUGAGGCGUUACCAGCAGAAGAAGCACCGGCUAACUCCGUGCCAGCAGCCGCGGUAAUAC
This 406-nucleotide ribosomal RNA is filed under the name uncultured bacterium. Its description in RNAcentral is "partial 16S ribosomal RNA". It matches the Rfam family "Bacterial small subunit ribosomal RNA", at positions 29 to 526 of the family's 1533-position model. The record is from RNAcentral.